RNAcentral lists this ribosomal RNA (468 nucleotides) under uncultured bacterium. Its description in RNAcentral is "partial 16S ribosomal RNA". It matches the Rfam family "Bacterial small subunit ribosomal RNA", at positions 28 to 507 of the family's 1533-position model. The record is from RNAcentral.
GACGAACGCUGGCGGCGUGCUUAACACAUGCAAGUCGAACGGAAAGGCCCUGCUUUUGUGGGGUGCUCGAGUGGCGAACGGGUGAGUAACACGUGAGUAACCUGCCCUUGACUUUGGGAUAACUUCAGGAAACUGGGGCUAAUACCGGAUAGGAGCUCCUGCUGCAUGGUGGGGGUUGGAAAGUUUCGGCGGUUGGGGAUGGGCUCGCGGCUUAUCAGCUUGUUGGUGGGGUAGUGGCUUACCAAGGCUUUGACGGGUAGCCUGCCUGAGAGGGUGACCGGCCACAUUGGGACUGAGAUACGGCCCAGACUCCUACGGGAGGCAGCAGUGGGGAAUAUUGCACAAUGGGCGGAAGCCUGAUGCAGCAACGCCGCGUGCGGGAUGACGGCCUUCGGGUUGUAAACCGCUUUCGCCUGUGACGAAGCGUGAGUGACGGUAAUGGGUAAAGAAGCACCGGCUAACUACGUG